AGACCGUGAUGAGGACAUAACCUUAUGAUAUCCUUGUAUCAUUCCCAUUCUUCAAAAAGCGAUUCUCCUUCUGUCUGUCUAAACAUGGUUAUGUGAUUUCUUAACAU
Molecule: small nucleolar RNA, 107 nt
Organism: Lathyrus oleraceus (garden pea)
Lineage: Eukaryota; Viridiplantae; Streptophyta; Magnoliopsida; Fabales; Fabaceae
Source: RefSeq, a predicted model, not a curated record